Pseudophryne corroboree (corroboree frog) is the source of this 1794-nucleotide long non-coding RNA. RefSeq lists it as uncharacterized. The transcript is spliced from 3 exons. The record is from RefSeq and is a predicted model, not a curated record. NCBI's taxonomy places the organism in Eukaryota, Metazoa, Chordata, Amphibia, Anura, Myobatrachidae.
CCUGGCUGCGCAGUGGGUUAUGGUGUGACAGCACCAUGAACAGCCACUGUGUCUAUUGGGCAAACUGGGCAGGCUGAAAACCAACUGAAAAAACAGGCAUGGGAUGACUGGAUGGCCAUAUAUGCCAACCUCACCUAAAGAAAGCAUUGUAAAUUCAGUUGUUCAUUGAGACCUCUGGGGUGGAUGGUGUCUAAUUUAAAAAUCCAGCGGGCCUCAAGUUGUAACAAUUGAGUCGCUCUGUCUCCACCGUGGACAGAGGACGGGAUGUGGUCCACUAUCUUGUAUCUGAUGGCUGCUGUAUUGUUGUAUUUUUGUAAGGCUCACAUUUACUAUGAGGCUACGCAGUAUUACGAUGCUGCGCCGCAUCUCCAUGGUUACCGUUUUCUCUCCUGUCUGCAGCCACGUCACUGAGGGGUCGGUGCAGCGGGAUGACGCAACUUCCGGAUUUCGCAUGCCACACGCUGCCGGAAGUGCGGGUUCCGUGCACAGGACGGCGGGGACGUGGAGGCAGACACAGAUACACGGUACAGGAACCACACCAAAGAAAUUCUGUUAAUAGUUGACUGGUCAACUGGACACAGGAUUCUCUGCAUAAACCAUUCAAGCCAGGUGACAAGAACUAGGUCUCAGAAGUAAUCUUCAGAUAUGGUUAGAAAGCAUGGAUUCUACUAACUGUCGGCAUAUUGCAUGAGGAAUAUCGUCCCGAAUGCGAUGAAAUGCAUCUUACAGUUCCUGAAGUUUUGAUGGUAGAAGAAGCAACACUUUUGUGCUGUUGACUGCAUGUCCUCCCUUUAACAUCUGCAUGGUGUAAUUGAAAACAUGAUUCCUCAUGACUCCCCCCCCCCCCAAAAAGACCCAUUUCCAAUCUUACUGUCCAAUUGCUGUGUUCCUGUGCAAACUGGAGGCAUUUUACCCUGUUUGAAGUAGAUAGCAAUGGCUUACUGACAGGCAAUCUCCUUCAGUAGCCCAUACAAUGUCAUUUGCUAAAAUACAUUUCCAAGCCACUGCUUUAGAAAUUCUUCAAAUUUCAUCAACUCCCUGCAAAUUAUACCGUUACAAUUCCCUUUAUGUUUAUAACAUUCUUAGCCCUAUAUUAAAUCUUUCAUUGACGUGGAAUUUACAGAGCUUUAAAUUUUAUAUGAACCACAUGUGACCCUACGAUUUCACUAGGCGAAGGCACAGUGACAGGGUUUACUACAAAGUCUGCAGACACAUUACAUGACAAUCCAGCUUCUGUCUAUAAACAACCUGUCCUAGAGGGGUGAUAAAAAUUAUUAUCAAAAAUCAGUAUCUGAUCAAUGAAAAUAGCUGUUCUGGAACUGCCCCAAAAUCCUGAUGUUGCAACUUUAUGACAUAUCCUUAUUACUAAUAUGAGUGGCAAACUUAUGGUGUAUAACGGAUACAACAAAUUACAGCACCAUCUGGAAGUUAUUAAGGUUCUACUGAACCUCGGCAGCUGAUCUCUGUGUAUUGUGGAACAUGAACAUCUUUUGUCAAUUUAUCCAUUCAGGCGACUGAAGUGAUGAAGAUAUAAACUGAACAUAAUAUAUCUUGAGCACACAAUAGAUAUUUUAAGUCUAGUUUUAUUAAGGAGUUAGCAACAAGGAGGAAGCCAUCAAAUUACCUCAAGGAUCAACUCUGUUUUAAUAAAUAAAUUUUACAUUUUGCAGAAACCCACAAUUUGUUUCCUACUUAUAGAUCAUAGGUAAUACAAGGCUUAUAAAAGCCUCCAUAUUUCAUCCAGGGAAUGUGUUAGAUAUCAUAGAAAUCUACAAGCAGACACUUUUAUAGACA